Molecule: ribosomal RNA, 906 nt
Filed under: Flexispira rappini
Lineage: Bacteria; Pseudomonadati; Campylobacterota; Epsilonproteobacteria; Campylobacterales; Helicobacteraceae
Description: bacterial SSU rRNA
Rfam family: Bacterial small subunit ribosomal RNA
Source: RNAcentral
CUGUAGCUUAACUACAGAACUGCAUUUGAAACUGACCAUCUAGAGUAUGGGAGAGGUAGGUGGAAUUCUUGGUGUAGGGGUAAAAUCCGUAGAGAUCAAGAGGAAUACUCAUUGCGAAGGCGACCUGCUGGAACAUUACUGACGCUGAUGCGCGAAAGCGUGGGGAGCAAACAGGAUUAGAUACCCUGGUAGUCCACGCCCUAAACGAUGAAUGCUAGUUGUUGCCCUGCUUGUCAGGGCAGUAAUGCAGCUAACGCAUUAAGCAUUCCGCCUGGGGAGUACGGUCGCAAGAUUAAAACUCAAAGGAAUAGACGGGGACCCGCACAAGCGGUGGAGCAUGUGGUUUAAUUCGAAGCUACGCGAAGAACCUUACCUAGGCUUGACAUUGAUAGAAUCCGCUAGAGAUAGUGGAGUGCUGGCUUGCCAGAGCUUGAAAACAGGUGCUGCACGGCUGUCGUCAGCUCGUGUCGUGAGAUGUUGGGUUAAGUCCCGCAACGAGCGCAACCCUCGUCCUUAGUUGCUAGCAGCUCGGCUGAGCACUCUAAGGAGACUGCCUUCGUAAGGAGGAGGAAGGUGAGGACGACGUCAAGUCAUCAUGGCCCUUACGCCUAGGGCUACACACGUGCUACAAUGGGACAUACAAAAAGAUGCAAUACCGCGAGGUGGAGCAAAUCUCUAAAAUGUCUCUCAGUUCGGAUUGUAGUCUGCAACUCGACUACAUGAAGCUGGAAUCGCUAGUAAUCGUGAAUCAGCCAUGUCACGGUGAAUACGUUCCCGGGUCUUGUACUCACCGCCCGUCACACCAUGGGAGUUGUAUUCGCCUUAAGUCGGGAUACUAAAUUGGUUACCGCCCACGGCGGAUGCAGCGACUGGGGUGAAGUCGUAACAAGGUAACCGUAGUGAACC